UUAAUUAAUAUAAUUGAACUUGAUCAGGACUCAAUUGUUGAGAUUGGAUUUGAUUGGGUCUAAAUUAGUGUAAUUGGGCUCGAUCAUGAUUUAAUUGGGAUUUAAUUUCGUAUUUGUUCUGAUCUAAGUCGGACUUGGAUCGAGCCGAAACUAGACCUAAUUGAAUCUCCUAUGAGUCAGACUCAUGUGGAAUUUUUUCGGGUCAAAAAUUCAUUCAAAUGGGCUGCAAAUUUGGUUUAGAACCAAAUUGACUAACUUAUGAUCAAAUGGGCUAACCCAUUUGUAUCACAA
This 291-nucleotide long non-coding RNA is filed under the name Phoenix dactylifera (date palm). RNAcentral's name for it is "long non-coding RNA (PDAC_LNC022439)". Lineage: Eukaryota; Viridiplantae; Streptophyta; Magnoliopsida; Arecales; Arecaceae. The record is from RNAcentral.